GACGAACCGUGCAAACGUUGUUCGGAUUCACUGGGCUUAAAGGGCGCGUAGGCGGGUGGUCAAGUCAGGGGUGAAAUCCUCCAGCUCAACUGGAGAACAGCUUUUGAUACUGGCCAUCUUGAGGGAGGUAGGGGCAUGUGGAACUUCCGGUGGAGCGGUGAAAUGCGUAGAUAUCGGAAGGAACGCCGGUGGCGAAAGCGACGUGCUGGACCUUUUCUGACGCUGAGGCGCGAAAGCUAGGGGAGCAAACGGG
RNAcentral lists this ribosomal RNA (253 nucleotides) under uncultured bacterium. RNAcentral describes it as "partial 16S ribosomal RNA". It matches the Rfam family "Bacterial small subunit ribosomal RNA", at positions 524 to 776 of the family's 1533-position model. The record is from RNAcentral.